This 253-nucleotide ribosomal RNA is filed under the name uncultured bacterium. Its description in RNAcentral is "partial 16S ribosomal RNA". It matches the Rfam family "Bacterial small subunit ribosomal RNA", at positions 524 to 776 of the family's 1533-position model. The record is from RNAcentral.
UACGGAGGGGACUAGCGUUGUUCGGAAUUACUGGGCGUAAAGCGCACGUAGGCGGAUUGUUAAGUCAGGGGUGAAAUCCCGAGGCUCAACCUCGGAACUGCCUUUGAUACUGGCAAUCUCGAGUCCGGAAGAGGUGAGUGGAAUUCCUAGUGUAGAGGUGAAAUUCGUAGAUAUUAGGAAGAACACCAGUGGCGAAGGCGGCUCACUGGUCCGGUACUGACGCUGAUGUGCGAAAGCGUGGGGAGCAAACAGG